CAGCCGCCGCGGUAAUACGAAGGGGGCUAGCGUUGUUCGGAAUUACUGGGCGUAAAGGGCGCGUAGGCGGCCAUUCAAGUUAGAUGUGAAAGCCCUGGGCUCAACCUAGGAAUUGCAUUUGAUACUGUUUGGCUUGAGUUCGGGAGAGGUGAGUGGAAUUCCCAGUGUAGAGGUGAAAUUCGUAGAUAUUGGGAAGAACACCAGUGGCGAAGGCGGCUCACUGGACCGACACUGACGCUGAGGCGCGAAAGCGUGGGGAGCAAACAGGAUUAGAGACCCCCGUAGUCCCUGUCUCUUAUAC
This 301-nucleotide ribosomal RNA is filed under the name uncultured bacterium. Its description in RNAcentral is "partial 16S ribosomal RNA". It matches the Rfam family "Bacterial small subunit ribosomal RNA", at positions 509 to 807 of the family's 1533-position model. The record is from RNAcentral.